GUGCUUGCUUCAGCAGCACAAAUACUAAAUUGGAACAAUACAGAGAAGAUUAGCAUGCACAAGGAUGACACGCAAAUUUGUGAAGUGUUACAUUUUUAA
Dipodomys ordii (Ord's kangaroo rat) is the source of this 99-nucleotide small nuclear RNA. NCBI's taxonomy places the organism in Eukaryota, Metazoa, Chordata, Mammalia, Rodentia, Heteromyidae. The record is from Ensembl.